UAGUGCAGUGGAUUUAAGCUCCAUAAAUAAAGUUUUACACUUUUUUUAGAAUUAUC
Molecule: transfer RNA, 56 nt
Filed under: Mantis religiosa (praying mantis)
Lineage: Eukaryota; Metazoa; Arthropoda; Insecta; Mantodea; Mantidae
Description: partial tRNA-Leu
Source: RNAcentral